Small nucleolar RNA from Hevea brasiliensis (rubber tree), 107 nucleotides. NCBI's taxonomy places the organism in Eukaryota, Viridiplantae, Streptophyta, Magnoliopsida, Malpighiales, Euphorbiaceae. The record is from RefSeq and is a predicted model, not a curated record.
AUUCCAUGAUGUGGGCAUCUCCUUUAAAGAUCCUUGUAUCUCUCCCAUGCUUCAUAGAGACUCUCAUCAUCCCUUGGUCUGAAAGAAGUUAAUUCAUUCCUCAAUUU